RNAcentral lists this non-coding RNA (775 nucleotides) under Baeotus beotus. Lineage: Eukaryota; Metazoa; Arthropoda; Insecta; Lepidoptera; Nymphalidae. The record is from RNAcentral.
AUAAAAUUUUUAUGUUUUAUAAAAUUUAUUUAAAAUUUAUUUUACAUAUAAAUUUUAGUGUUAUAUUUUAAUUAUUUUAAUAAUAAUUAAUUUUUUUUUAUAGUAAUUAAAAUUAAAUAUAUUUAAGAAAUUAAGAUUUAGUAAUAUAGAAAUUAAUAACUAAUUUUGUGCCAGCAGUUGCGGUUAAACAAAAAUUAAAUUAAAUUAUUUCAGUUAUAAUAAGUAAAAAUUAAAAUAAAAUAAAUAUUAAAUUAUUAAGUGAAAUUUUAAUUUAAUUAAAAUUUAUUUUAAAUUUAUGAUUUAAUAAAUUUUUUUUAUAAACUAGGAUUAGAUACCCUAUUAUUAAAAAUUUAAUUAAAAAAGCUAAAAUAGUAAAUAAUAUUUUAUUGAAACUUAAAUAAUAUGGCGGUAUUUUAGUUCAUUUAGAGGAAUCUGUCUAAUAAUUGAUAAUCCACGAAUAAAUUUACUUAAUUUAAUAUUUUGUAUAUCAUUGUUAAAAAAAUAUUUUUAAAUAAAAAUAAUAUUUUAAAAUUAAGAUAAAAAAUUAACUCAGAUCAAGAUGCAGAUUAUAAUUAAGAAUAUGAUGGAUUACAAUAAAAAUAUUUAUAUGAAUAAUAAAUUGAAAUAUAAAUUUGAAGGUGGAUUUAAAUGUAAUUUUAAUUAGUUUUUUAAAAUGAUUAUAAAUUAAAAUAUGUACAUAUUGCCCGUCACUUUCAUUUAAAAAUUGAAAUAAGUCGUAACAAAGUAGAGGUACUGGAAAGUGUUUCUAGAAAGA